UCCUACGGGAGGCAGCAGUAGGGAAUCUUCCGCAAUGGACGAAAGUCUGACGGAGCAACGCCGCGUGAGUGAUGAAGGCUUUCGGGUCGUAAAACUCUGUUGUUAGGGAAGAACAAGUGCUAGUUGAAUAAGCUGGCACCUUGACGGUACCUAACCAGAAAGCCACGGCUAACUACGUGCCAGCAGCCGCGGUAAUACGUAGGUGGCAAGCGUUAUCCGGAAUUAUUGGGCGUAAAGCGCGCGCAGGUGGUUUCUUAAGUCUGAUGUGAAAGCCCACGGCUCAACCGUGGAGGGUCAUUGGAAACUGGGAGACUUGAGUGCAGAGGAGGAAAGUGGAAUUCCGAGUGUAGAGGUGAAAUUCGUAGAUAUUCGGAGGAACACCAGUGGCGAAGGCGGCUCGCUGGCUCACUACUGACGCUGAGGCGCGAAAGCGUGGGGAGCAAACAGGAUUAGAUACCCUGGUAGUCCACGCCGUAAACUAUGAAUGCUAGUCGUCAGGGGGCUUGCCCUUUGGUGACGCAGUUAACGCAUUAAGCACUCCGCCUGGGGAGUACGGCCGCAAGGCUGAAACUCAAAGGAAUUGACGGA
This 588-nucleotide ribosomal RNA is filed under the name uncultured bacterium. RNAcentral describes it as "bacterial SSU rRNA". It matches the Rfam family "Bacterial small subunit ribosomal RNA", at positions 337 to 917 of the family's 1533-position model. The record is from RNAcentral.